Molecule: non-coding RNA, 371 nt
Organism: Pocillopora verrucosa
Lineage: Eukaryota; Metazoa; Cnidaria; Anthozoa; Scleractinia; Pocilloporidae
Source: RefSeq, a predicted model, not a curated record
CCGCAGGCCAUGCACUUCAAACUCAAAACUGAAAACACACACGACAAGGAAUGCUUAGAUGAAGAUGAAUGAGGCUCAAAGCGAUAAAUUGAUAUGGAACAUCAUUUUAUUCUCUGUUUUACUGCACUUGUGGCGAAUCUAACAUGAUUUACGACGAUGGCUUCGCCUUACAGUUGCUCGCUGCAAUCGAAAGGAUGUGGAUUAAAAAAAAGUAUUUUGCGAUGAAAUCACUUACCGGAUGGAAACGCAACGGAGAUAAGUAUGGCAGCAACAAACCACAGCUUCAUCUUGAAGGGCUUGAUGUUUCCUUAAGAGUCAAAAAACUGAAGAUUGGAGGCGUAGUGUCAAAGCGUCGACGAGCGGGCUGAACU